GACGAACGCUGGCGGCGUGCUUAACACAUGCAAGUCGAACGCUGAAGCUCAGCUUUUGUUGGGUGGAUGAGUGGCGAACGGGUGAGUAACACGUGAGUAACCUGCCCCCUUCUUUGGGAUAACGCCCGGAAACGGGUGCUAAUACUGGAUAUUCACUGGUCUUCGCAUGGGGGUUGGUGGAAAGGGUUUUUCUGGUGGGGGAUGGGCUCGCGGCCUAUCAGCUUGUUGGUGGGGUGAUGGCCUACCAAGGCUUUGACGGGUAGCAGGCCUGAGGGGGUGACCGGCACAAUGGGACUGGGAUACCGCCCAAGCUGCUACCGGGGGGCAGAGUGGGAAAUAAUGCACAAUGGGCGCAAGCCUGAUGCAGCGACGCCGCGUGAGGGAUGGAGGCCUUCGGGUUGUGAACCUCUUUCGCUCAUGGUCAAGCCGCAACAAUGGUUGUGGUGAGGGUAGUGGGUAAAGAAGCGCCGGCUAACUACGUG
RNAcentral lists this ribosomal RNA (482 nucleotides) under uncultured bacterium. Its description in RNAcentral is "partial 16S ribosomal RNA". It matches the Rfam family "Bacterial small subunit ribosomal RNA", at positions 28 to 507 of the family's 1533-position model. The record is from RNAcentral.